Molecule: long non-coding RNA, 1405 nt
Filed under: Homo sapiens (human)
Lineage: Eukaryota; Metazoa; Chordata; Mammalia; Primates; Hominidae
Description: HSALNT0408633
Source: RNAcentral
AGACAUAGGAACCUAACAGCUCCCAGAAGCCAGACUGAGAAAGAAAAGCAUAAAGGACACGCAACAGCAUGAUGCCUGAGCAAGGAAUGUGGAUGGAGAAGGGAAUAUUGGACAAGGUCAGGACCGCCACUUCUAGAGAAAUGUGAUACCGGGACAAGAUAUGACUAAAAAUGUCUGCAGAGCAGCAGAGAGUGCCUACCUCAAUGCUAGCGAUAUAACACAUACCCAGCAGAAGGUUGAUAGCAUAUAAACAACUACAUUUUCAACUUGGCCUUUAUGAUGUCCCUGCUUCUGGAUUUUGUUUAGUUCUUCUGCUAUUUUCCAGGUAGAAGUAUGAUAGUUGAACUUUAUUGUGCUCUAGAAAAAGCAAUAAACCCUUCUGCAAACUUCAUAAGAUAGCACAGUAAAAGGAACUCUACACCAAGAGGACAUUUUCCCUUCAAAAUAACAAAGCAGAACACAAAGUAAAUCAAAGCAUAUAAACGGAGAAAGGAAUUCCGUUGCCUUUGAAAUUGAACUCCAGAAAUAAUUUACUUAAAAAGAGUUCCUCAGAUAUAGCUUGAAGUCUAAAGACAAUCAUUGAUCAUCAACUGGUAUUCUCUUACUCCAUCAGCACUCCAGAUACAAAGCAAGAGAAAACCCAGAGUAAAAAAUUUAAAUGGACAAUAUUUCAUCUGCAACCUGGAAAGUCUUCUAUGCUUGCUGUUGUAUUGACUUUCCUACUUAUCUCAGAAAAUUGUGCAUUUAAUCAUCUCUCUCUAUUUUCUUUGACUCUUUUCCAGUGAGAGAGUAUAAGAUUGUUUACCUAAAGACCUCGAAGUCUAGCAAGAUAGGAAGCAAGUUGUUACUUAAGCAGGUUGGGGGGGCAUUAUGGGCACAAUGAAAAUUAAUCAUUGGUUCUCUUUGCCUAUCAAAAUACAUCGUUCACAUAGGACCCCUUUCCCCAAUAAAUUUAGAUCAUGCCUACUCUAGAAAAGGAAUCACAGCAUUGUCACUUCUUGAUGUUGUGAAGUAAUUUGUAAUGCGCAGAAAUGAUUUGAAUACAUGUCCCAACAGAGCUUUGUGAAGGAAACUCAAAGCUAUUCUGACAUAAUAGCAAAUGAUAGCAGAGAAGGGACUGAAGCACUGCAGCAAACCCAAAAUUGUUCCAAUAUUCAGCUGCUAGAACAAAAAAGAAAAGCCUCACUACUGAACCUUUUUCAUUUCGUAUAGCUGCUCAAAAUUUAGAAAACUCAUAGACCAUAAUCCAUUAAAACAGCAUCUAUUACAUCAAGUUCUAAUUGCUAAACUUGCUGGUAAAUCCUUGGGGUAAAGAGAUUGGAACUCUUCCAUUUUCAAUAAAGAUUAUUUGUAAAACUAAAAAAAAAUCCAUGAGACAAUCUGAUAGAUGUCUCAUUAUUCCUGA